UACUACGGUAGUGAAGUUGUUGAUGCCCUGCUUCCAGGAAAAGCUUCUAAACUUAUGAUUAUAUGAACCGUACCCCAAACCGACACAGGUGGUCAGGUAGAGAAUACUAAGGCGCUUGAGAGAACUCGGGUGAAGGAACUCGGCAAAAUUGUACCGUAACUUCGGGAGAAGGUACGCCCUUGUUUGUGAUAGGACUUGCUCCUUGAGCAGAUGAGGGCCGCAGUGACCAGGUGGCUGGGACUGUUUAUUAAAAACACAGCACUCUGCUAACUCGCAAGAGGACGUAUAGGGUGUGACACCUGCCCGGUGCCGGAAGGUUAAUUGAUGGGGUUAUCUUCGGAGAAGCUCUUGAUCGAAGCCCCGGUAAACGGCGGCCGUAACAAUAACGGUCCUAAGGUAGCG
This 402-nucleotide ribosomal RNA is filed under the name Thalassiosira punctigera. Its description in RNAcentral is "partial Bacterial large subunit ribosomal RNA". It matches the Rfam family "Bacterial large subunit ribosomal RNA", at positions 1575 to 1961 of the family's 2925-position model. The record is from RNAcentral. Lineage: Eukaryota; Bacillariophyta; Thalassiosirophyceae; Thalassiosirales; Thalassiosiraceae.